GAUGAACGCUAGCUACAGGCUUAACACAUGCAAGUCGAGGGGCAGCAUGGACAUAGCUUGCUAUGUUUGAUGGCGACCGGCGCACGGGUGCGUAACACGUAUCCAAUCUGCCCGUUACUCGGGAUAGCCUUCUGAAAAGGAAGAUUAAUACCCGAUGGCAUGUAUUUCCGGCAUCGGAGAUACAUUAAAGAUUUAUCGGUAACGGAUGAGGAUGCGUACGAUUAGCUUGUUGGCGGGGUAACGGCCCACCAAGGCGACGGUCGUUAGGGGUUCUGAGAGGAAGGUCCCCCACACUGGAACUGAGACACGGUCCAGACUCCUACGGGAGGCAGCAGUGGGGAAUAUUGGGCAAUGGGCGAAAGCCUGACCCAGCGACGCCGCGUGAAGGAAGAAGGUCUUCGGAUUGUAAACUUUUGUCAACAGGGAAGAAGAAAGUGACGGUACCUGUUAAGAAAGCCACGGCUAACUACGUG
This 473-nucleotide ribosomal RNA is filed under the name uncultured bacterium. Its description in RNAcentral is "bacterial SSU rRNA". It matches the Rfam family "Bacterial small subunit ribosomal RNA", at positions 28 to 507 of the family's 1533-position model. The record is from RNAcentral.